This 492-nucleotide ribosomal RNA is filed under the name uncultured bacterium. Its description in RNAcentral is "partial 16S ribosomal RNA". It matches the Rfam family "Bacterial small subunit ribosomal RNA", at positions 29 to 507 of the family's 1533-position model. The record is from RNAcentral.
AGUGAACGCUGGCGGUAGGCCUAGCACAUGCAAGUCGAACGGCAGCACAGUAAGAGCUUGCCCUUACGGGUGGCGAGUGGCGGACGGGUGAGGAAUACAUCGGAAUCUACUUUUUCGUGGGGGAUAACGUAGGGAAACUUACGCUAAUACCGCAUACGACCUACGGGUGAAAGCAGGGGAUCUUCGGACCUUGCGCGAUUGAAUGAGCCGAUGUCGGAUUAGCUAGUUGGCGGGGUAAAGGCCCACCAAGGCGACGAUCCGUAGCUGGUCUGAGAGGAUGAUCAGCCACACUGGAACUGAGACACGGUCCAGACUCCUACGGGAGGCAGCAGUGGGGAAUAUUGGACAAUGGGCGCAAGCCUGAUCCAGCCAUACCGCGUGGGUGAAGAAGGCCUUCGGGUUGUAAAGCCCUUUUGUUGGGAAAGAAAAGCAGCAGGUUAAUACCCCGCUGUUCUGACGGUACCCAAAGAAUAAGCACCGGCUAACUUCGUG